Molecule: long non-coding RNA, 339 nt
Filed under: Manacus vitellinus (golden-collared manakin)
Lineage: Eukaryota; Metazoa; Chordata; Aves; Passeriformes; Pipridae
Description: lncRNA (ENSMVIG00005006431.1)
Source: RNAcentral
AAAGAGCAAUGGCAUUUUACAUCAUGUCCUGAAAGUCAUCAGUCCAUAACCACUAAGAAGUGAUGCAAAAUGCUGGUAAUCUCUGCCCAGCAAGCAAUCCGAGUCCAUGCGGAAAGCUCCUGAAAAACAUCAUCUGUGUAAGGAAGAAUUCCUUCCUACAUCUCGGUUACCAGGAGCAGGAAGCAGAGAAACUGUCUGCUGUCUUCUUCUGCCUUGGGUCUCAGUUACAGAAUGGUCUGCUGGCAACAUAUUUUGGUAACUGCUAAAAAAAAAAAAGUUCAAACCUGUUUUGGAUUUUGUCUCUGAAAAAAAAAAAAAUAAAAAAGGAGUUCUUUUCCA